GUCCACGCAGUAAACGAUGAAUACUAGCUGUAUGCGAUAUACUGUAUGUGGCAAAGCGAAAGCGUUAAGUAUUCCACCUGGGAGUACGUUCGCAAGAAUGAAACUCAAAGGAAUUGACGGGGCCCGCACAAGCGGAGGAACAUGUGGUUUAAUUCGAUGAUACGCGAGGAACCUUACCCGGGCUUGAAAUGCAGAGGAAUUAUGGGAAACCGAUACGCCAGCAAUGGUCUCUGUGUAGGUGCUGCAUGGUUGUCGU
RNAcentral lists this ribosomal RNA (256 nucleotides) under uncultured bacterium. RNAcentral's name for it is "partial 16S ribosomal RNA". It matches the Rfam family "Bacterial small subunit ribosomal RNA", at positions 793 to 1055 of the family's 1533-position model. The record is from RNAcentral.